Long non-coding RNA from Mercenaria mercenaria, 172 nucleotides. RefSeq lists it as uncharacterized. The record is from RefSeq and is a predicted model, not a curated record. Lineage: Eukaryota; Metazoa; Mollusca; Bivalvia; Venerida; Veneridae. The transcript has 3 exons.
CAGUUUAUGCACAGCUUUCUUGGUGAACAUGAUUAUCAUAUUAAAGUAGAAGAAAUUUCAGCAGUGCAGUUUCUGGAAGAAAGUGGAGUUGUGACUGAUAGCUUUGUUGUAAACAACCACACAUAUAUUGACCAGCAAUCUGAUAUUGUGGAGAAUCGUACAACAGUAAGUG